GACCCUGUCGUCUAGUGGCCAAGGACGUCAGGAUUUCCUCCUGAAAACGGAUGUUCAAAUCAUCCCGGGGUCGCCA
This 76-nucleotide transfer RNA is filed under the name Malaciobacter pacificus. Its description in RNAcentral is "tRNA-Glu". It matches the Rfam family "tRNA". From Rfam's summary of the family: Transfer RNA (tRNA) molecules are approximately 80 nucleotides in length. The record is from RNAcentral. Lineage: Bacteria; Pseudomonadati; Campylobacterota; Epsilonproteobacteria; Campylobacterales; Arcobacteraceae.